This 463-nucleotide ribosomal RNA is filed under the name uncultured bacterium. RNAcentral describes it as "bacterial SSU rRNA". It matches the Rfam family "Bacterial small subunit ribosomal RNA", at positions 917 to 1382 of the family's 1533-position model. The record is from RNAcentral.
GGACCCGCACAAGCGGUGGAUUAUGUGGAUUAAUUCGAUGCAACGCGAAAAACCUUACCUACCCUUGACAUGUCCGAGAGCCCGAUGAGAGUUGGGUGUGCCCGAAAGGGAAUCGGAACACAGGUGCUGCAUGGCUGUCGUCAGCUCGUGUCGUGAGAUGUUGGGUUAAGUCCCGCAACGAGCGCAACCCUUGUCAUUAGUUGCUACCGCAAGGAGCACUCUAAUGAGACUGCCGGUGACAAACCGGAGGAAGGUGGGGAUGACGUCAAGUCCUCAUGGCCCUUAUGGGUAGGGCUUCACACGUAAUACAAUGGCGCGUACAGAGGGUUGCCAAAGAGCGAUCUGGAGCCAAUCCCUUAAAGCGCGUCGUAGUCCGGAUUGCAGUCUGCAACUCGACUGCAUGAAGUCGGAAUCGCUAGUAAUCGCGGAUCAGCAUGUCGCGGUGAAUACGUUCCCGGGUCUU